ACACACACACACACACACACUCUAGUACACAGUGUAAACAACACAGUUCACGACCUACACACCAUCCACUCGCAUCCACUACAUACUAUGCAAGAUACACGAAACAGAGUGACCCCUGUCCUAUCAGUAUUCCCCAAUGAAAUAUGACAACAGCUAUUCAUACACGCAAGAUUUACUACAGCCAAUCAGAUGUCACACGAGCCUAAGAACGCGAGCCGCUGAAUGAAACCAAGGCGCAAGGAUUGUUUCAGUCUCUUUGACAACCAUCAUCUGAGCCAGCCACUUGCUGUUUGGAAACUUUAUCAUCAUCGUUAUAACCGUUAACAACAUCAACAUUUUUUGAGCAUCACCGGACAGUGUGGAAGAUCACGACAGUAAGAACAUCAUCAAGAGCCACAUGUUAGCUGACAGCCACGUCGGUAAGACAACUCUUUUAUGUGACAAACGAAAACACUGAUAUUUACCGCCAUCUCCGGCACUGAUGCACUGAUUCUGCUAACAGGCUAACCCCUCAAGAACCACCAGAGGCAUCAACUUCUCACCAUCGUAUCAUCACAUCACACAUCACCAUCUUCAGGAGCGACGGCUAACCCCCGAGAACUGCCAGGCACCAUUCACCAUUCACCGCUGUGUCUAAGUGUACUCACCGGAUUCAUCCCCUUGAGCACACCAUUAGGAGCAACGGUCAGGUUUUUUGGAAGGAUAGAAACCAAAGAAGACGACUGGGCCAGGACUUCACCUGGUCAAGGACACUGAUGGCGAGCCUUUCCCAGAGCCUUUCCCAGAGCGACCACAUAUACCCUUAAGUACCCUAACAAGGAACUUUUCCCCCCCUUUUCCACUUUUUUACCAUUUUUAUUUUGUUUAAGGCCACGUGGACCCUUGUUUAUUUUAAGUGUGCACACUGUUUUAUUUUAUUUGGGUUUUUAUACACUUCAAACAUUUUGUAAACAAUAUACGAGUUUUCACUCAAAAAGGAAUUUCUUGUCUGACUCAUUAUUGUUGCUUAACACUCGCUCCUCUCUCUUACUUAGAUCUUCUGAUCCAGGUCCUAGUAUUAUUGUUCAUUAU
This is a long non-coding RNA of Engraulis encrasicolus (European anchovy), 1071 nucleotides long. RefSeq lists it as uncharacterized. The transcript has 3 exons. The record is from RefSeq and is a predicted model, not a curated record. Lineage: Eukaryota; Metazoa; Chordata; Actinopteri; Clupeiformes; Engraulidae.